UUGUCCUUAGUUACCAGCACGUUAUGGUGGGCACUCUAAGGAGACUGCCGGUGACAAACCGGAGGAAGGGUGGGGAUGACGUCAAGUCAUCAUGGCCCUUACGGCCUGGGCUACACACGUGCUACAAUGGUCGGUACAAAGGGUUGCCAAGCCGCGAGGUGGAGCUAAUCCCAUAAAACCGAUCGUAGUCCGGAUCGCAGUCUGCAACUCGACUGCGUGAAGUCGGAAUCGCUAGUAAUCGUGAAUCAGAAUGUCACGGUGAAUACGUUCCCGGGCCUU
RNAcentral lists this ribosomal RNA (279 nucleotides) under uncultured Pseudomonas sp. RNAcentral's name for it is "partial 16S ribosomal RNA". It matches the Rfam family "Bacterial small subunit ribosomal RNA", at positions 1105 to 1382 of the family's 1533-position model. The record is from RNAcentral. Lineage: Bacteria; Pseudomonadati; Pseudomonadota; Gammaproteobacteria; Pseudomonadales; Pseudomonadaceae.